Molecule: ribosomal RNA, 923 nt
Filed under: uncultured low G+C Gram-positive bacterium
Lineage: Bacteria; Bacillati; Bacillota
Description: bacterial SSU rRNA
Rfam family: Bacterial small subunit ribosomal RNA
Source: RNAcentral
GCCCUUAGAGUUUGAUCAUGGCUCAGGACGAACGCUGGCGGCGUGCCUAAUACAUGCAAGUCGAGCGCGGGAAGCAAGAUGACCCCUUCGGGGUGAUUCUUGUGGAACGAGCGGCGGACGGGUGAGUAACACGUGGGCAACCUGCCUGUAAGACUGGGAUAACUCGCGGAAACGUGAGCUAAUACCGGAUAACACUUUUCUUUACCUAAGGAGAAGUUGAAAGGCGGCCCUUUGAGCUGUCACUUACAGAUGGGCCCGCGGCGCAUUAGCUAGUUGGUAGGGUAAUGGCCUACCAAGGCGACGAUGCGUAGCCGACCUGAGAGGGUGAUCGGCCACACUGGGACUGAGACACGGCCCAGACUCCUACGGGAGGCAGCAGUAGGGAAUCUUCCGCAAUGGACGAAAGUCUGACGGAGCAACGCCGCGUGAACGAUGAAGGUUUUCGGAUCGUAAAGUUCUGUUGUUAGGGAAGAACAAGUACCGUUCAAAUAGGGCGGUGCCUUGACGGUACCUAACGAGGAAGCCCCGGCUAACUACGUGCCAGCAGCCGCGGUAAUACGUAGGGGGCAAGCGUUGUCCGGAAUUAUUGGGCGUAAAGCGCGCGCAGGCGGUUUUUUAAGUCUGAUGUGAAAUCUUGUGGCUCAACCACAAGCGGUCAUUGGAAACUGGAGAACUUGAGUACAGAAGAGGAGAGUGGAAUUCCACGUGUAGCGGUGAAAUGCGUAGAUAUGUGGAGGAACACCAGUGGCGAAGGCGACUCUCUGGUCUGUAACUGACGCUGAGGCGCGAAAGCGUGGGGAGCGAACAGGAUUAGAUACCCUGGUAGUCCACGCCGUAAACGAUGAGUGCUAGGUGUUAGGGGGUUUCCGCCCCUUAGUGCUGCAGUUAACGCAUUAAGCACUCCGCCUGGGGAGUACGGCCCC